UUUUUUUUUCAUUUCUUUUUUUUUUUAUAAAAAAAAAAAGAAAUGAAAAAAAAACGUAACAGCUACUACUCGAAUUCGCACACGCGCA
RNAcentral lists this non-coding RNA (88 nucleotides) under Lotharella globosa. Lineage: Eukaryota; Cercozoa; Chlorarachniophyceae. The record is from RNAcentral.